Molecule: ribosomal RNA, 678 nt
Filed under: uncultured Lake Michigan sediment bacterium LMBA13
Lineage: Bacteria; Pseudomonadati; Acidobacteriota
Description: bacterial SSU rRNA
Rfam family: Bacterial small subunit ribosomal RNA
Source: RNAcentral
AGCGAACGCUGGCGGCGUGCUUAACACAUGCAAGUCGAGUGCGAGUUUUUUGUAGCAAUACAGGGAAUGGGCGCACGGCGCACGGGUGAGUAACACGUGGGUACCUGCCCUCCAAAAGGGGAUAACCCGCCGAAAGGCGGGCUAAUACCGUAUGACAUUACGUGGCUUCGGCCACAGUAAUCAAAGGCCGCAAGGCCGUUGGGGGAGGGGCCCGCGCCCGUUAGCUAGUUGGUGAGGUAACGGCUCACCAAGGCUUUGAUCGGUAGCCGGUCUGAGAGGUGGCCGGCCACACUGGAACUGAGACACGGUCCAGACUCCUACGGGAGGCAGCAGUGGGGAUAUUGCGCAAUGGGCGAAAGCCUGACGCAGCGACGCCGCGUGGGGGAUGAAGCUUUUCGAGUGUAAACCCCUUUCGACCCGGAAGAAUGUCCCGCAAGGAUUGACGGUACGGGUAUAGAAGCCCCGGCUAACUACGUGCCAGCAGCCGCGGUAAUACGUAGGGGGCCAGCGUUGCUGGAAUUACUGGGCGUAAAGGGUUCGUAGGCGGUGCGGCAAGUCGGAAGUGAAAUCUCCAGCUCAACUUGGAGGCUGCUSCCGARASUGCCGCGCUAGAGUGCGGGAGAGGCCAGUGGAUUGCAGGUGUAGCGGUGAAAUGCGUAGAUAUCUGCAGAACACCCC